UCGAUUGAGUUUGAUCCUGGCUCAGAAUCAACGCCGGCGGCGUGCCUCAGACAUGCAAGUCGAGCGAUUAAAGCUCUCUUCGGAGAGUGCAUAGAGUGGCGCACGGGUGAGUAACACGUAAGUAAUCUACCCUCGAGUGGGGAAUAACAACCGGAAACGGUUGCUAAUACCGCAUAAUGCAGCGGCACCGCAAGGUGACAGUUGUUAAAGAUUCAUCGCUUGAGGAGGAGCUUGCGGCAGAUUAGCUAGUUGGUAAGGUAAUGGCUUACCAAGGCUACGAUCUGUAACCGGUCUAAGAGGACGGUCGGUCACACUGACACUGAAUAACGGGUCAGACUCCUACGGGAGGCAGCAGUCGGGAAUUUUGGGCAAUGGGCGAAAGCCUGACCCAGCAACGCCGCGUGAAGGAUGAAGUAUUUCGGUAUGUAAACUUCGAAAGAAUAGGAAGAAUAAAUGACGGUACUAUUUAUAAGGUCCGGCUAACUACGUGCCAGCAGCCGCGGUAAUACGUAGGGACCAAGCGUUGUUCGGAUUUACUGGGCGUAAAGGGCGCGUAGGCGGUGUUGUAAGUCACUUGUGAAAUCUCUGAGCUUAACUCAGAACGGCCAAGUGAUACUGCAGCACUAGAGUGCAGAAGGGGCAAUCGGAAUUCUUGGUGUAGCGGUGAAAUGCGUAGAUAUCAAGAGGAACA
Molecule: ribosomal RNA, 691 nt
Filed under: uncultured bacterium
Lineage: Bacteria
Description: bacterial SSU rRNA
Rfam family: Bacterial small subunit ribosomal RNA
Source: RNAcentral